This 253-nucleotide ribosomal RNA is filed under the name uncultured bacterium. RNAcentral describes it as "partial 16S ribosomal RNA". It matches the Rfam family "Bacterial small subunit ribosomal RNA", at positions 524 to 776 of the family's 1533-position model. The record is from RNAcentral.
GACAGAGGCCUCGAGCGUUAGGCGGAAUCACUGGGCUUAAAGCGUGUGUAGGCGGAUCGUUAAGUGCCUUGUGAAAUCCCACGGCUUAACUGUGGAACGGCUGGGCAUACUGGCGGUCUUGAGCCAUCUAGGGGCGACUGGAACAAACGGUGGAGCGGUGAAAUGCGUAGAUAUCGUUUGGUACGCCAAUGGUGAAAACAGGUCGCUGGGGAUGAGCUGACGCUGAGACACGAAAGCCAGGGGAGCAAACGGG